CCUACGGGUGGCAGCAGUGGGGAAUAUUGGGCAAUGGACGCAAGUCUGACCCAGCAACGCCGCGUGAAGGAAGAAGGCUUUCUGGUUGUAAACUUCUUUUAAGGGGGAAGAGCAGAAGACGGUACCCCUUGAAUCAGCCACGGCCAACUACGUGCCAGCAGCCGCGGUAAUACGUAGGUGGCAAGCGUUGCCCGGAUUUACUGGGUGUAAAGGGCGUGCAGCCGGAGAGACAAGUCAGAUGUGAAAUCCACGGGCUCAACCCGUGAACUGCAUUUGAAACUGUUUCCCUUGAGUGUCAGAGAGGUAAUCGGAAUGCCUUGUGUAGCGGUGAAAUGAGUAGAUAUAAGGAAGAACACCAGUGGCGAAGGCAGAUUACUGGACGAUAACUGACGGUGAGGCGCGAAAGCGUGGGGAGCGAACAGGAUUAGAUACCCGGGUAGUC
RNAcentral lists this ribosomal RNA (442 nucleotides) under uncultured bacterium. RNAcentral's name for it is "partial 16S ribosomal RNA". It matches the Rfam family "Bacterial small subunit ribosomal RNA", at positions 338 to 795 of the family's 1533-position model. The record is from RNAcentral.